AUUGAACGCUGGCGGCAUGCCUAACACAUGCAAGUCGAGCGGCUGCAGGGAGCUUGCUCCUGGAGUCAGCGGCGGACGGGUGAGUAAUGCCUAGGAAUCUGCCUUGUAGUGGGGGAUAACGUCCGGAAACGGGCGCUAAUACCGCAUACGUCCUGAGGGAGAAAGUGGGGGAUCUUCGGACCUCUCGCUCUCAGAUGAGCCUAGGUCGGAUUAGCUAGUUGGUGGGGUAAAGGCCUACCAAGGCGACGAUCCGUAACUGGUCUGAGAGGAUGAUCAGUCACACUGGAACUGAGACACGGUCCAGACUCCUACGGGAGGCAGCAGUGGGGAAUAUUGGACAAUGGGCGAAAGCCUGAUCCAGCCAUGCCGCGUGUGUGAAGAAGGUCUUCGGAUUGUAAAGCACUUUAAGUUGGGAGGAAGGGCAGUAAGUUAAUACCUUGCUGUGUUGACGGUACCAAAAGAAUAAGCACCGGCUAACUUCGUG
Molecule: ribosomal RNA, 484 nt
Filed under: uncultured bacterium
Lineage: Bacteria
Description: partial 16S ribosomal RNA
Rfam family: Bacterial small subunit ribosomal RNA
Source: RNAcentral